This 468-nucleotide ribosomal RNA is filed under the name uncultured bacterium. RNAcentral describes it as "partial 16S ribosomal RNA". It matches the Rfam family "Bacterial small subunit ribosomal RNA", at positions 28 to 507 of the family's 1533-position model. The record is from RNAcentral.
GACGAACGCUGGCGGCGUGCUUAACACAUGCAAGUCGAACGGAAAGGCCCUGCUUUUGUGGGGUUCUCGAGUGGCGAACGGGUGAGUAACACGAGAGUAACCUGCUCUUCACUUUGGGAUAACUUCAGGAAACUGGGGCUAAUCCCGUACAGCAGCCCCUGCUGCAUGGUGGGGGUUGGAAAUUUUCGGCGGUUUGGGAUGGACUCGCGGCUUAUCAGCUUGUUGGUUGGGUAGUUGCUUACCAAGGCUUUGACGGGUAGCCGGCAUGAGAGGGUGACCGGGCACAAUGGGACUGAGAGACGGCCCAGACUCCUACGGGAGGCAGCGGGGGGGAAUAUUGCACAGUGAGCGGAAGCCUGAUGCGGAAACGCCGGGUGCGGAAAGACGGCCUUCGGGUUGUAAACCGCUUUCGCCUGAGACGAAGCGUGAGUGACGGUAAUGGGUAAAGAAGCACCGGCUAACUACGUG